GCACCCGCGGUAAUUCCAGCACCAAUAGCGUAUAUUAAUGCUGCUGCUGUUGAAAAGCUCGUAGUUGGAUCAAGAGUUCGACAGUGCAGGGUGGCCUCGCUUGUGCACUUGGCUCCGGUCAUGUGUACGGCGGCGGAUCAACCCCUUGCGCCAAACUGUCGUCUCUAACAGACCGAAGCGGUUCCCUGUGAGUAGGCAACUUUAUUGGGGCUGGAAGCGUUUACGCAUCAACCAUAUGCAUACGGGACGUCGGUCAAAGUUACUGUGAACAAACCAGCGUGUCCAAAACAGGCUUCGCCUGAAUGUUCGAGCAUGGAAUAUCAAGGGAUCGAUUCUCUCGGUUCUUUUUGUUGGUUUUUAACCCGAGAAGGAGUAAUUCAGGUCAAGCUGUCUGGGCUGGGUUCCCCUGCAUUUCGGUGUAGGCCCCAGUUAGGCCUUGCCCUUACGGGAUAAAUAGGGACUCAGGGGGUCGUACGUACUUCCACGUCAGAGGUGAAAUUCUUAGAUCGUGGGAAGACGAACUUCUGCGAAAGCAUUCGACAAGAAUGUCUUCAUUAAUCAAUAACGAGAGUGUGGGGAUCGAAGAUGAUCAGAUACCGUCGUAGUCCACUACUGUAAACAAUGCCGUCUCAGGAUUGAGAAGUGAACCUAAUGACUUUCACAGCACUAACCCCUGAAACGAGAAAUCAAAGAUUAUGGGUUCAGGGGGGAGUACAUUCGCAAGGCUGAAACUUAAAGGAAUUGACGGAAUGACACCACAAGGCGUGGAGUAUGCGGCUUAAUUUGACUCAACACGGGGAAUUUUACUAGGCCAGGACAAUGUAAGGAUUGACAGAUUGAGAGCUCUUUCUCGAUCCAUUGUGUGGUGGUGCAUGACCGCUCCUGGUUGGUGGAGUGAUUUGUCUGGUUGAUUCCGUUAACGAACGAGAUCUCGACCCUUAAAUAGGUGCCCGUGUCGAUUGUAGUCUUGCCUCUGCCUGCUUGCCGGAUUUGAGCAGGACGAGACUGCGGGAAUACUUCUUAAGGGGACUGUGUGCGUCUCUAGCACGCGGAAGAGCGAACCAAUAGCAGGUCUGUGAUGCUCCUAAAUGUCCUAGGCUGCACGCGCACUACACUGAUGCAAUAAACGAGUCUGAGUGCCUUCUGGCACCCUGCCUGGAAGCGGGUGGGAAAUCUUUUGGACUUGCAUCGUGAUGAG
RNAcentral lists this ribosomal RNA (1198 nucleotides) under uncultured marine diplonemid. Its description in RNAcentral is "bacterial SSU rRNA". It matches the Rfam family "Eukaryotic small subunit ribosomal RNA", at positions 570 to 1574 of the family's 1831-position model. The record is from RNAcentral. Lineage: Eukaryota; Euglenozoa; Diplonemea.